RNAcentral lists this small nuclear RNA (147 nucleotides) under Microtus ochrogaster (prairie vole). RNAcentral's name for it is "U1 spliceosomal RNA (ENSMOCG00000005856.1)". It matches the Rfam family "U1 spliceosomal RNA". Rfam says of the family: U1 is a small nuclear RNA (snRNA) component of the spliceosome (involved in pre-mRNA splicing). Its 5' end forms complementary base pairs with the 5' splice junction, thus defining the 5' donor site of an intron. There are significant differences in sequence and secondary structure between metazoan and yeast U1 snRNAs, the latter being much longer (568 nucleotides as compared to 164 nucleotides in human). The record is from RNAcentral. Lineage: Eukaryota; Metazoa; Chordata; Mammalia; Rodentia; Cricetidae.
AUACUUACUUGGUGGAGGAGACACCAUGAUCACAAAGGUGGCUUUCCCAGGGCAAGGUGUCUCCAUUGGAUUUAGCAUGUAUUGACCCUUGCAAUUUCCCUAAAUUUAGGAAAUUUGACUACAUAACUUGUGGUAGUUGUCCUGCAU